UCGCUCAGAUUGAACGCUGGCGGCAGGCCUAACACAUGCAAGUCGAGCGGUAGCACAGAGAGCUUGCUCUCGGGUGACGAGCGGCGGACGGGUGAGUAAUGUCUGGGAAACUGCCUGAUGGAGGGGGAUAACUACUGGAAACGGUAGCUAAUACCGCAUAACGUCGCAAGACCAAAGUGGGGGACCUUCGGGCCUCAUGCCAUCAGAUGUGCCCAGAUGGGAUUAGCUAGUAGGUGGGGUAACGGCUCACCUAGGCGACGAUCCCUAGCUGGUCUGAGAGGAUGACCAGCCACACUGGAACUGAGACACGGUCCAGACUCCUACGGGAGGCAGCAGUGGGGAAUAUUGCACAAUGGGCGCAAGCCUGAUGCAGCCAUGCCGCGUGUGUGAAGAAGGCCUUCGGGUUGUAAAGCACUUUCAGCGGGGAGGAAGGCGUUAAGGUUAAUAACCUUGGCGAUUGACGUUACCCGCAGAAGAAGCACCGGCUAACUCCGUGCCAGCAGCCGCGGUAAUACGGAGGGUGCAAGCGUUAAUCGGAAUUACUGGGCGUAAAGCGCACGCAGGCGGUCUGUCAAGUCGGAUGUGAAAUCCCCGGGCUCAACCUGGGAACUGCAUUCGAAACUGGCAGGCUAGAGUCUUGUAGAGGGGGGUAGAAUUCCAGGUGUAGCGGUGAAAUGCGUAGAGAUCUGGAGGAAUACCGGUGGCGAAGGCGGCCCCCUGGACAAAGACUGACGCUCAGGUGCGAAAGCGUGGGGAGCAAACAGGAUUAGAUACCCUGGUAGUCCACGCCGUAAACGAUGUCGAUUUGGAGGUUGUGCCCUUGAGGCGUGGCUUCCGGAGCUAACGCGUUAAAUCGACCGCCUGGGGAGUACGGCCGCAAGGUUAAAACUCAAAUGAAUUGACGGGGGCCCGCACAAGCGGUGGAGCAUGUGGUUUAAUUCGAUGCAACGCGAAGAACCUUACCUGGUCUUGACAUCCACAGAACUUUCCAGAGAUGGAUUGGUGCCUUCGGGAACUGUGAGACAGGUGCUGCAUGGCUGUCGUCAGCUCGUGUUGUGAAAUGUUGGGUUAAGUCCCGCAACGAGCGCAACCCUUAUCCUUUGUUGCCAGCGGUCAGGCCGGGAACUCAAAGGAGACUGCCAGUGAUAAACUGGAGGAAGGUGGGGAUGACGUCAAGUCAUCAUGGCCCUUACGACCAGGGCUACACACGUGCUACAAUGGCAUAUACAAAGAGAAGCGACCUCGCGAGAGCAAGCGGACCUCAUAAAGUAUGUCGUAGUCCGGAUUGGAGUCUGCAACUCGACUCCAUGAAGUCGGAAUCGCUAGUAAUCGUAGAUCAGAAUGCUACGGUGAAUACGUUCCCGGGCCUUGUACACACCGCCCGUCACACCAUGGGAGUGGGUUGCAUAAAGAAGUAGUAGCUUAACCCUUCGGGAGGGCGCUUACCACUUUGUGAUUCAUGAC
Molecule: ribosomal RNA, 1464 nt
Filed under: Klebsiella sp. 60MoSuero
Lineage: Bacteria; Pseudomonadati; Pseudomonadota; Gammaproteobacteria; Enterobacterales; Enterobacteriaceae
Description: bacterial SSU rRNA
Rfam family: Bacterial small subunit ribosomal RNA
Source: RNAcentral